AAACAUAUACUUUGAGUAAUUUUAAAUUAUAAUUCUUUUUGAAUUAGAAGAGUACUAACUAUUUUCUAUUUUUUUCUUUAGAGGUAAUAAAAAAAAAUUUAAUACCCGACCACUUGUGGUCUUUUUUUUUAAAAUUCUGUAAUACCCGACCCAAUCCAAUCAUAAUCCGACCUAGCCCAUCUUAAUUAUCCUUUUUUCCUUCUUAAUUAUCUUAGAAGCCCAUACAACUCUCACCUCACUCUCAAACACCUCUCACCGAUGGAAACAACACCGAUGAAAUAGAUCCAGAGAAUCCAAUAUUUUAACAUAAAUUUCCAAUCCCUGCAAAUUCUGUGAAAGCAUUUUAGUGCAAAUUUUCGGUCCCUGCAAAUCCAGUUCGACGCUAAGUUUGUAAUAUAAAUUUUCCCUUCGUAUACUUUUUUAUCUGUUAAAACCCCCCAACAUUUUCCCCUUUAACGCUAUUAUUUGUAGUAAGUGAAGAAGAAAAGUUCACUAAUGCAUUCUUAGUAUUCAACAAGUUAAGAUUUGGUGCAUUUUGCCUAAUGGAUUGACUUUUUCAUUUAUGCUUAAAGUUUGUUGUUGUUCAUACUCUUGUUGUGAAAUUGGGAUUUAGCAAGGAGAUUGAAAGAGUUAUGGUGUGCGCAACGUAAAGUGUUUGAUGAAAUGCCUGAGAAGGAUGUUGUUUGUUGGACUUGUUUGAUUUCUGAGUGUGCAAAGUUUGGUUUGUCUGUGGAAGGUUUGUGUUUAUUUUUGUGAUGGUGAAGAAGAAGUUGAUUCCUAAAAAUGAUACUAUGAUUAGUGUUUUACAAUAGCAUCAGAUUUAUGCCAAUUGAUUAGGUAGAAACACUAGGAAAUUUGAAGAAGCUUCCUGGUUUGAAUUUAUUUUAUUGGUCUUUGAAAGAUAACAAUGAAUUUAUGUAUCAUUUGGGACAUAAAUAGACGUUGUUGCUUUGAGGCGAGUUUUCUAUAUUUUGGUCAACUUUUAUAAUGUUGAUGUAGUGUUAAGUGGCUAGAGCUCCCAUCCCAUACACAAUUUGAUUAAUGCCAAAUUUUGCAGUUGUCUUUAAUAGAAUUACUAUUAAUUUGAAUUUUAAGUCAACUUCAAUUACUAAGUUUUAUAACAAUUAAUUUGAAAAAUUAAGAUAUGCUUUGUUAGCAAAUGAUUUUGUGUUGCUUUUUAACAGAAUUCGAAUUAGGGAAAAAGGAUUGCUUUGCUAUUUUCGAUGAUCAUUUGUCUCUUUCUCUUCAAUUUUGGUCAAGCAAAGAUAAGUUGAUUUCUCUCUAUUUUCUUAUAGUAAAGUCUUUAAAUGUAGUGUUAAGGUGAGAUUAUUUUAUUUAGAAGGUUUUGAAAGUCAUAGGUUUUGCGAUGGAUAUGCGACGCCUCUACUUAUUUGCUUUAUUAAAUUUGUUGAAUUGUUUGAUUUGAAAGCCAUAGGUUUUGUGAUGGACAUGUGAAUUAGUGACUUGAAAGUGAAAAUUUUUAUCAAUAAAAAAUUCCAACAUCCUAACAUGGAACAAAUAUUUUGAGUAAUUUUAAUUAUUAUUCUUUUUGAAUUAGAAGAGUACUAACUAUUUUUUAUUUUUCUCUUUACAGGUAAUGAAAAACUUUAAAGAUAGGUCCAUGAAAACAUACUUACGACGCUACUAUUUUGGAGGUCAUUAAUCGUGUGAAAAAAUAAAUAAGAGAGCAUAUAGUUACAGACUGUUUAGUAAUAGAACAUCAGAAGUAUAAGAUAUUGAAGGAGAAAAAAAUAGCAUAACAAAAGCUAUAAUUAUUUUGUCAUAAAUCGACCUGAUAUGAGCAAUGGAAAAUGUUUCUUUACUCAUAUUCUAGUUUCUCUUCGUGAUCCUGAAGUUACUAGUCUUGAUUCUAUGUGUUUUCUUAAGAGAGAGGAUGUAAUUUAUGU
This 1907-nucleotide long non-coding RNA is filed under the name Capsicum annuum. Its description in RNAcentral is "long non-coding RNA (CANN_LNC006507)". The record is from RNAcentral. Lineage: Eukaryota; Viridiplantae; Streptophyta; Magnoliopsida; Solanales; Solanaceae.